CCUACGGGAGGCAGCAGUGGGGAAUUUUGCGCAAUGGGGGAAACCCUGACGCAGCAACGCCGCGUGAGUGAUGAAGGCCUUCGGGUUGUAAAGCUUUGUCAGAGGGAAAGAAGUGUGGGAGGGCCAAUACCCCUUUCACUUGACGGUACCCUCAAAGGAAGCACCGGCUAACUCCGUGCCAGCAGCCGCGGUAAU
This 195-nucleotide ribosomal RNA is filed under the name uncultured Geobacter sp. RNAcentral describes it as "partial 16S ribosomal RNA". It matches the Rfam family "Bacterial small subunit ribosomal RNA", at positions 338 to 524 of the family's 1533-position model. The record is from RNAcentral. Lineage: Bacteria; Pseudomonadati; Thermodesulfobacteriota; Desulfuromonadia; Geobacterales; Geobacteraceae. RNAcentral also lists the same sequence under 1 other name.